UUGAUCAAGCUACAAAGAGCGCAUCAUGGAUGCCUUGGUGCCAAUAGGCGAUGAAGGACGUGGCAAGCUGCGAUAAGCUACGGAGAGCGGCAAACACGCUUUGACCCGUAGAUUUCCGAAUGGGAUAACCUGAGUGGGGUAACACCUGCUCGAGCUUCUGUGAAUCCAUAGCAGAAGCAUCGCGACACCCGGCGAAGUGAAACAUCUCAGUAACCGGAGGAAAAGAAAUCGAAAGAGAUUCCGUCAGUAGUGGCGAGCGAAAGCGGAAGAGGCUAAACCUGUCGAUUUAUCGAUGGGGGUUGUAGGAGCCCAACGUGGUAGUGUGAAGGUUAGGUGAAGCUUCUGGAAAGCUGCGCCAUAGAGGGUGAAAGGCCCGUAACCGAAAACUGGAGCAUGCCUAGGGAUUUCCUGAGUAAUACGAUGCACGUGAAACUUCGUAUGAAUCUGCGCCGACCACGGCGUAAGCCUAAAUACUCAUUGGCGACCGAUAGUGAACCAGUACCGCGAGGGAAAGGUGAAAAGAACCGCUGUGAGCGGAGUGAAAUAGUACCUGAAAUGAUGUGCUUACAAGGUGUCAAAGCCCAGCACUUUCUGAUUCAAUGCUAACGUGUUCUACGUUUAUGUAUUAAAGAAUCCGAAAACUGGAGCGUUAUACUACGGCUUUAGCAGCAACCUGAGGCACGUUUUGCCAAGCAUCAAGAGAUGCGGAAACACGCCGGAUGGGAGCUAGUUUAUUACGAAGCGUAUUUGAAUGAGCAAGACGCACGCGAUCGCGAGCGCAUGCUUAAACAUUACGGGGCCGCGAGAGGUCGUCUCAAGAGACGUAUAGCGCGCAGCACGGGGUUAGAAAGUGCUGGGUGAUGGCGUGCCUUUUGCUUAAUGAGUCUGCGAGUUACUAUCAGUGGCGAGCCUAAGGCGUUCUGCGCCGGAGGCGAAGCGAAAGCGAGUCCGAAAUGGGCGCCCUAGUCGCUGGUAGUAGACCCGAAGCGGAGGUGAUCUACCCAUGAGCAGGAUGAAGGUUGCUUAACCGCAACUGAAGGUCCGAACCCGUGAAGGUUGAAAACUUCUGGGAUGACUUGUGGGUAGGAGCGAAAGACUAAUCAAACCCCGUGAUAGCUGGUUCUCCCCGAAAUAGCUUGAGGGCUAG
RNAcentral lists this ribosomal RNA (1147 nucleotides) under Verrucomicrobiota bacterium. RNAcentral describes it as "bacterial LSU rRNA". It matches the Rfam family "Bacterial large subunit ribosomal RNA", at positions 1 to 879 of the family's 2925-position model. Lineage: Bacteria; Pseudomonadati; Verrucomicrobiota. The record is from RNAcentral.